RNAcentral lists this unclassified non-coding RNA (1123 nucleotides) under Hevea brasiliensis (rubber tree). Lineage: Eukaryota; Viridiplantae; Streptophyta; Magnoliopsida; Malpighiales; Euphorbiaceae. The record is from RNAcentral.
UGAAACAGGGAUCUGGAGCACAUCAUUUUUCACAGUAAAAGAAGAGAAAACCUAGUGCAUCACAUUCCAUGCCAAAAAACAAUUUAAACUUUGGGAGAGGAAUAAAGUGAUGAUACAAGUUUAAAUUCAAUAUACUAACAGGACCAUAUGAACCUCUUUUUCUUACCACCCUUGCGUUCAUCUGGCCAAUUCAGAGAUCCAAAAACUGGCCCUAAAAGUAUAGUCAGACAAGUCGUUAGCAAAAUAAGCAAAGGUGUUACUUUGGUGUAAUCAUAUUCCCUACAGUCAGUAGAUCACAGAACUUUCGGAUUCCAGGUCAUAAUUCUGCUCUAUCGUUGAGCUUUGUCUUUUACAAGAUGGCUGAAGCAAAUCCCUCACCAAUUACCCACAAAAUGCUAAAGAACUUGCGCUGGGUGUUGGUGGUCCAAUCAAAACACCGACUGUUGAACAGCAGAUAGAGUCAACAUAUCCAACAAAACCUUACCAUAGCCCAAAAGGUAACAACCAAUGCAAAGUAGAUGAUCAACACAGAAUCAAUUUUUCUAAGUAAUAUUCAUGCUGUUCUCAAACAAUGGAUAGCUCCAGGGAAACAAAACCUAAGUAAUUAAAGAAUCUGAAAACAAAAUAAACUGACAGAGAUCAAGCUUUAGAGAUAAAAGCUGAUCCAUGCCACCUCAUACAACAUUUUUGAGAAGUGUAAUCAACUCAUGCAUCAUCUAGGAAGGCUGCUUAAAGGGAAAUUGCGUAACGGGUUCUCCCUCAACAAUUCUGUCUCCCUGCACAUGAAAUAUGAGAAUAUGUCACCAGUUACAUCACACGAGCAGUGAAAUUGUGCACAUUAUGGAGUUGCAGUACGCACUUUUUGAUGUCUAGGCCAUCCCCCUGUCUGAGCUGCAAAGUUGAAGACUUGCCACUAUCACCGUGUGAUCUGUCUUGUCUGCCAAGAAAUUUGAACACAAAUUAGUAAAUAACAGAUGGGGGUGAGAAUUAUCAAAAAGAAGCAUAUAAUGUGUACAUAUUGAAGAACGGAGUCAUCAGUUGGCUUAGGACAGGCUGCCAUAUAUUCUCAAAUAAACAUAAAAUUACUCACUCCGCACACUCCUCAUCAACAAAUACUUCAAUG